GACGAACGCUGGCGGCGUGCUUAACACAUGCAAGUCGGACGGAAAGGCCCUGCUUUUGUGGGGUGCUCGAGUGGCGAACGGGUGAGUAACACGUGAGUAACCUGCCCUUGACUUUGGGAUAACUUCAGGAAACUGGGGCUAAUACCGGAUAGGAGCUCCUGCUGCAUGGUGGGGGUUGGAAAGUUUCGGCGGUUGGGGAUGGACUCGCGGCUUAUCAGCUUGUUGGUGGGGUAGUGGCUUACCAAGGCUUUGACGGGUAGCCGGCCUGAGAGGGUGACCGGCCCCAUUGGGGCUGAGAUACGGCCCAGAGUCCUACGGGAGGCAGCAGUGGGGAAUAUGGCACAAUGGGCGGAAGCCUGAUGCAGCAACGCCGCGUGCGGGAUGACGGCCUUCGGGUUGUAAACCGCUUUCGCCUGUGACGAAGCGUGAGUGACGGUAAUGGGUAAAGAAGCACCGGCUAACUACGUG
Molecule: ribosomal RNA, 468 nt
Filed under: uncultured bacterium
Lineage: Bacteria
Description: partial 16S ribosomal RNA
Rfam family: Bacterial small subunit ribosomal RNA
Source: RNAcentral